This 447-nucleotide ribosomal RNA is filed under the name uncultured soil bacterium. Its description in RNAcentral is "bacterial SSU rRNA". It matches the Rfam family "Bacterial small subunit ribosomal RNA", at positions 26 to 518 of the family's 1533-position model. The record is from RNAcentral.
AGAGCGAACGCUGGCGGCAGGCCUAACACAUGCAAGUCGAACGGACUCUUCGGAGUUAGUGGCGGACGGGUGAGUAACACGUGGGAACGUGCCUUUAGGUUCGGAAUAGCUCCUGGAAACGGGUGGUAAUACCGAAUGUGCCCUUCGGGGGAAAGAUUUAUCGCCUUUAGAGCGGCCCGCGUCUGAUUAGCUUGUUGGUGAGGUAAUGGCUCACCAAGGCUACGAUCAGUAGCUGGUCUGAGAGGAUGACCAGCCACAUUGGGACUGAGACACGGCCCAAACUCCUACGGGAGGCAGCAGUGGGGAAUCUUGCGCAAUGGGCGAAAGCCUGACGCAGCCAUGCCGCGUGUAUGAUGAAGGUCUUAGGAUUGUAAAAUCUUUCACCGGUGAAGAUAAUGACUGUAGCCGGAGAAGAACGCCCGGACUAACUUCGUGCCAGCCAGCCGC